This 95-nucleotide microRNA precursor is filed under the name Myotis lucifugus (little brown bat). RNAcentral's name for it is "miRNA (ENSMLUG00000027386.1)". Lineage: Eukaryota; Metazoa; Chordata; Mammalia; Chiroptera; Vespertilionidae. The record is from RNAcentral.
AUCACCAGGGAAUCUUGUUAAAAUGUUAAAUCUGAUGCAGUAGGCCUGGGGUGCUUCCUGAGACUCUGCAUUUCUAACAAGUUCUCAGGUGAUUC